UACUUUUAAUAUAACUUGAUCUGAGAUUCAAAUCCCUUUUAAAAUGAUGGUUUGUGUACAGGUUCCUACAAUACAAACGCUUUAGAGCAUUCUCUGUGUUCUUACACUGGAGACAUAUGUGGACAUGGGAUAUUUCAAUUUGGCAUAUGCUCACCAGUGAUGGAAGGAGAGCGACUAAACCAGAGAAAAUCCACUGGAAUCACGAGGGCCUUUAUUUCUGAUGUUGUGAGCUGGUUUGCGAUUCCUCAUUGCCAUGAUUCUAAAAAUAAUUCGCCAGGCCUGCGGGUCUUCCCAUGUGAAAAUACAGUAUGGGGACACUUCUCGCAGUCAGGGCUUCUUUCACAGAGACCCCAUAUCCUGAAUGCUUCCGUGACUGAUACAUUUGCAGUUCAGACUCAACUUUGCUGGAGGUGCGUCCGCCUUUAUUUUUAUGCCGAUGUUUUCUAAGACGAGUCAACUUUUGUUCUCUAAUGCUACAGCAAAGACAGGAAAAAAUUAGUUCUUUUUUCUUAAGCCAAACGAUGGCUUCUUAUUCUGGUGUAAUAAGCUUCCAGAAAUUCCUGCUCUCCCCCUCCUUCUCCACCUUUCAUUCUGAGAGACUUGCAACGGACUGGGCUAGGGGGAAUCUCGUAUUCCGUAAUGUUUAGCCGACAUUUGUUACUUGCCGGUCAGGGUAACUCACUGAGCGUUUCUAAUCUC
Molecule: non-coding RNA, 699 nt
Organism: Cyanistes caeruleus (blue tit)
Lineage: Eukaryota; Metazoa; Chordata; Aves; Passeriformes; Paridae
Source: RefSeq, a predicted model, not a curated record